CGGGAAGAGCUCAAAUUUGAAAGCUGGCACUUGUGUCCGCGUUGUAAUCUCGAGACGUGUUUUCCGUGCGGCGCUAUGGACAAGUUCCUUGGAAUAGGACAUCGUAGAGGGUGAAAAUCCCGUACUUGCCAUGGAUGUACCGUGCUUUGUGAUACACGCUCUAA
RNAcentral lists this ribosomal RNA (164 nucleotides) under Malassezia sp. Its description in RNAcentral is "partial large subunit ribosomal RNA". It matches the Rfam family "Eukaryotic large subunit ribosomal RNA", at positions 99 to 261 of the family's 3401-position model. The record is from RNAcentral. Lineage: Eukaryota; Fungi; Basidiomycota; Malasseziomycetes; Malasseziales; Malasseziaceae.